CGUUCCCGGGCCUUGUACACACCGCCCGUCACACCAUGGGAGUUGGUUUUACCCGAAGCCGGUGGGCUAACCGCAAGGAGGCAGCCGACCACGGUAAGGUCAGCGACUGGGGUG
RNAcentral lists this ribosomal RNA (114 nucleotides) under uncultured bacterium. RNAcentral describes it as "partial 16S ribosomal RNA". It matches the Rfam family "Bacterial small subunit ribosomal RNA", at positions 1369 to 1482 of the family's 1533-position model. The record is from RNAcentral.